This 316-nucleotide ribosomal RNA is filed under the name uncultured bacterium. RNAcentral's name for it is "bacterial SSU rRNA". It matches the Rfam family "Bacterial small subunit ribosomal RNA", at positions 28 to 335 of the family's 1533-position model. The record is from RNAcentral.
GGCGAACGCUGGCGGCGUGCUUAACACAUGCAAGUCGAGCGGGGACAUGGAGAAGCUUGCUUCGAAAUGUUCUAGCGGCGGACGGGUGAGUAACGCGUGAGCAACCUUUCCUCUACUGGGGAAUAAUCACUGGAAACGGUGACUAAUACCGCAUGUCAUCACCGGAGGGCAUCCUCUGGUGAAAAAAGGAUUUAUUCGGUACAGGAUGGGCCCGCAUCUGAUUAGCUAGUUGGUGAGAUAACAGCCCACCAAGGCGACGAUCAGUAGCCGACCUGAGAGGGUGAUCGGCCACAUUGGGACUGAGACACGGCCCAAA